AGAGUUUGAUCCUGGCUCAGAUUGAACGCUGGCGGCAUGCCUUACACAUGCAAGUCGAACGGAUCUAAGGGGCUUGCUCCUUAGGUUAGUGGCGAACGGGUGAGUAAUGCAUCGGAACGUGCCCAGUCGUGGGGGAUAACGCAGCGAAAGCUGCGCUAAUACCGCAUACGUCCUGAGGGAGAAAGCGGGGGAUCGCAAGACCUCGCGCGAUUGGAGCGGCCGAUGUCGGAUUAGCUAGUUGGUGGGGUAAAAGCCUACCAAGGCUACGAUCCGUAGCUGGUCUGAGAGGAUGAUCAGCCACACUGGGACUGAGACACGGCCCAGACUCCUACGGGAGGCAGCAGUGGGGAAUUUUGGACAAUGGGCGAAAGCCUGAUCCAGCCAUGCCGCGUGAGUGAAGAAGGCCUUCGGGUUGUAAAGCUCUUUCAGACGGAAAGAAAUCUUCGGGGUGAAUAUCCCCGGAGGAUGACGGUACCGUAAGAAGAAGCACCGGCUAACUACGUGCCAGCAGCCGCGGUAAUACGUAGGGUGCGAGCGUUAAUCGGAAUUACUGGGCGUAAAGCGUGCGCA
RNAcentral lists this ribosomal RNA (570 nucleotides) under uncultured bacterium. RNAcentral describes it as "bacterial SSU rRNA". It matches the Rfam family "Bacterial small subunit ribosomal RNA", at positions 8 to 573 of the family's 1533-position model. The record is from RNAcentral.